GAAUUUUCCGCAAUGGGCGAAAGCCUGACGCAGCAAUACCGCGUGAAGGAAGACGGCCUAUGGGUUGUAAACUUCUUUUCUCAGGGAGGAACUCAAUGACGUGUACCUGAGGAAUAAGCAUCGGCUAACUCCGUGCCAGCAGCCGCGGUAAGACGGAGGAUGCAAGUGUUAUCCGGAAUCACUGGGCGUAAAGCGUCUGUAGGUGGUUUAAUAAGUCAACUGUUAAAUCUUGAAGCUCAACUUCAAAAUCGCAGUCGAAACUAUUAGACUAGAGUAUAGUAGGGGUAAAGGGAAUUUCCAGUGGAGCGGUGAAAUGCGUAGAGAUUGGAAAGAACACCGAUGGCGAAGGCACUUUACUGGGCUAUUACUAACACUCAGAGACGAAAGCUAGGGUAGCAAAUGGGAUUAGAUACCCCAGUAGUC
RNAcentral lists this ribosomal RNA (423 nucleotides) under uncultured cyanobacterium. Its description in RNAcentral is "bacterial SSU rRNA". It matches the Rfam family "Bacterial small subunit ribosomal RNA", at positions 359 to 795 of the family's 1533-position model. The record is from RNAcentral. Lineage: Bacteria; Bacillati; Cyanobacteriota.